AUUAACAUACAUACAUUUCACGCUAUACAGUUUCUGUUUUGUGUUUGUGCGAUUUAUAUGUUUGCCAUUUUCCCUUCACAUAAACAUGUAGGCCCAAACUACAUAUUGUAAGUUAUCUACAUGCUUGUCGGUCGUAAAUUGCAGUGUGCAGUUCUUAUAUUCUCUUGUGCUGAUCUGUACGGUAAAUGCCAAUAUUUGUGCAUAUAAACUGUGGCAAAUCAUUUUCGAACUUUGUCAUCGAUCAGCCAGCCAGGAAGGUGGAAGGAAACACUGCGGUAAGUGAAAUAUAUAUACUUCUUUGCAAGUGCAUAGUUUCGUUGUCGCAGCCUACUGAUUCCCGUUCCACUCCGCCACACUUUGGAAUAGGUAGAGCUGCUAUAAGCCACAUGUACAGUUCAACUAAUUUAGGGAUGGAUAUGCCUUUGAUCCAGUCUAAUUCAACAACAAUCAUACCAUUUGCAACAUCUGUAUGUAAUAUUUGUGUUUUUUGGCAAUGAGCAAACGUGUUGAGUGGGCAGGUUUCGUAGCGCUUAUACAGCCAUAUGCAACAGUGAAAUAUUUCAGUGAGUGGUUAAUGAAAUUAGAGAAUAAAAUUUGUACGGUAUUUGUUGAUACUUCGUCAAAGAAAUCGAAGUUCUGCCCGGUUCAGCACACAUUCCAGCAGCACCGGGCAACGAGAUGCCCAAUUUGUCAGGGGCAUGAUAAGCCAGUACAGUUUGGGCGUUUUCUAGAAUGUUCGGUGCCAAACAGAUGGACAGAAGCGAAACUACAUCGCUUGUCUCAAUUUGGGUUACAGUACACGAAAUUGCCAACGGAAAUGGGGAUGCGUGGAUGUGAGCAGCAUUUGAAUGUUCAGUAGUUUAGGGCACAUGCCGCGCAGGAGUCAACGUUUCUGGUAGGCUUGCUUAUAAGUGGUGCCGGUAUGCAAAAAUGUACAGAUUCCUCUGCAGAGUUUAACCAAGGACGAUUUGGAUCACAACUUGAAACAUGUAAGCCAACUUCCAGUACAACCUUAUGCCCAGGUCAGGCCCAGACUAUUGAUUGGUCUUAAUCAUGGCCAUUUGGGACUGCCAUCGACAACUAUGAAUGUAAACUCGUAUGGUCCCUUUAUUACCAAUACGGAGUUGGGAUGGGUAGAGUUUGGUCCAACUUCAACUACGAUACCAUCCCCAGCAUCGUGUUUGUUUAUGAACCGCUAAGCUGAUUAGUCUCUCCACAAUAUGGUAGUUGCCAUCUUCAAGACCGAGAAUUUCGGUGUCAGAGCUGCGCCUCCUAUAUAAAGUAAUGUGGACACUCGGGCCAGAACUAUUCUAAAGUCCGCCACAUGCCGCGUCGAUGGACGGUUUGAAAAAGUCUCAUAUGGAGAACUGACAACGUAAGGUUACCUGACAGCUACAACAUGGCGUUGAAACGUCUGGUCAGCGGAGCGCAAAGGAUGUGUCGAUAGAAGCCGCUAUGUCUACCGCUAAGACUUGGAAUUUGGCUCACUUUGCCGUUGCCAGUCCCAACAAACCCGGAAAGCUACGCAUGAUAUUUGACGCCGGUACUGAGUCUAAAUGCGCGCCAAUGAAAACUCUUAUUGUGUCACGGCUUCAACUUCAGGCAGCUGUUUUGGGCACACGCCUCAUGCAGUGCAUCCGCGACGAACACUCUUUUGGCAUCACAGACUGCAUUCUGUAGAGUGACCCAAAAACGGUCAUCAAAUGGAUUCAAAGUGAGCAUCGUAAUUACAAGCCUGUCGUACAGCUACAAGCGUUUCCAAUUGGCUGCCUACUAAGCCCACGUCGCGUUGGUCACGUUGUCCCCAUUCCUGCAGCAGGAUCCCAGGCUUUUACGCUUUUAUAUAGACGAGGAAGGCGUUCUCCAAGUGCAGGCUCAUGACUUGAGUACCGACUCCUGUAUCAUUGCUAUACGUAAUUUUGUGAACCGGCGACGUGCACCAUUAAGAAUUGACAAUGGAAAGAAUUUCGUUGAUGUUGACCGAAAAGCCAAGCGUUUCACAGAAGGGUUCGACUGCGUUUACAAAGUGAAAUAUCGCAGAAAAAUAUCCAGUCUGUAUUAAUUCACCAUGUAGUCCAUCGGAACGUGGUGCAUGGGAGAGAAUGGUACAGUGUGUCAAGCGAGUUUAAUUUCACACUUUGAAAGAGGUUGCACCAAGGGAGCAUACCCUGAAUAGUUUUCUUAUUGAAACCGUUUAAAGAAGGGGACUGGGUGUUCAUAUGCGGCCCUAGUGUUCCACGGCGAGAAUGGUGCCGAGGGAAGGUAAAGCUAGUGUACUCUGGGCUUGAUGGCGAGAUACGACGAGCAGACAUACGAACUUCUAGAGGAGUGAAACGAUGCGCAGUCUCAAAACUUGCUGUUCUGGACAUUAAUGGAGAUGAAUCAGGUAGGCACAAGCUACAUAUGUUAAGUUAUGCUUGUUGUUUGUAAACUGCAGUGUGCAGUUCCCCUAUUCUCCAGUGCUAAUCUGUAUGAUAAAUGGUUCAUAUAAGCUGGGGCAAAUCAUAUUCGAAUUUUCUCAUUGAUCAGCCAGCCAGGAAGGUGGAAGGACACACGAAGUAAACCAUAAACCAAACAUGCGUAACAGAAUAUGAGACCACCAUAAUAAUAUACAAAUGAACUAUGCAGUACAC
Molecule: non-coding RNA, 2633 nt
Organism: Bactrocera oleae (olive fruit fly)
Lineage: Eukaryota; Metazoa; Arthropoda; Insecta; Diptera; Tephritidae
Source: RefSeq, a predicted model, not a curated record